CAAUAGCGUAUAUUAAAGUUGUUGCGGUUAAAAAGCUCGUAGUUGAAGUGUCUAUCUUUUGCCGGUGUGUUCAAUGAAUACAUCUGGAGAGAGAUUGUUUUCGAGGGUCGUUGAGCCUUAAUUGGUUCAAUGUAACUCGGGCUUUUACUUUGAGGAAAAUAGAGUGUUCCAAGCAGGCGCAGCCUUGUAUAUCUUAGCAUGGAAUAAUAACAUAUGACAUUAGCUCUAUUUUAUUGGUUUACGGUGCUUCUGUAAUGGGUAAUAGAAGCUGUCGGGGGUAUUCGUAUUCGACUGUUAGAGGUGGAAUUCUUGGAUUUGUCGAAGACGAACAACUGCGAAAGCAUUUACCAAGGAUGUUUUCAUUAA
RNAcentral lists this ribosomal RNA (366 nucleotides) under uncultured eukaryote. RNAcentral's name for it is "partial 18S ribosomal RNA". It matches the Rfam family "Eukaryotic small subunit ribosomal RNA", at positions 592 to 976 of the family's 1831-position model. The record is from RNAcentral.